ACCGUCCCACGUUCAGAUUGCAGUCUGCAACUCGACUGCAUGAAGUCGGAAUCGCUAGUAAUCGCGGAUCAGCAUGCCGCGGUGAAUACGUUCCCGGGCCUUGUACACACCGCCCGUCACACCAUGAGAGUCGGGAACACCCGAAGUCCGUAGCCUAACCGCAAGGAGGGCGCGGCCGAAGGUGGGUUCGAUAAUUGGGGUGAAGUCGUAACAAGGUAUC
Molecule: ribosomal RNA, 220 nt
Filed under: uncultured bacterium
Lineage: Bacteria
Description: partial 16S ribosomal RNA
Rfam family: Bacterial small subunit ribosomal RNA
Source: RNAcentral